CCUACGGGAGGCAGCAGUGGGGAAUAUUGCGCAAUGGGCGAAAGCCUGACGCAGCGACGCCGCGUGAGGGAUGAAGGUCUUCGGAUCGUAAACCUCUGUCAGCAGGGAAGUACGGUCACUGUGCUAAUCAGCAGUGAAUUGACGGUACCUGCAAAGGAAGCACCGGCUAACUCCGUGCCAGCAGCCGCGGUAAUACGGAGGGUGCGAGCGUUAAUCGGAAUUACUGGGCGUAAAGCGCUCGUAGGCGGUAUGUCAAGUCAAGGGUGAAAUCCCCGCGCUCAACGUGGGAACUGCCUUUGAAACUGGCAGACUGGAGUGUGUGAGAGGAUAGUGGAAUUCGAGGUGUAGGAGUGAAAUCCGUAGAUAUCUGGAGGAACAUCAGUGGCGAAGGCGACUAUCUGGCACAUAACUGACGCUGAGGAGCGAAAGCGUGGGUAGCAAACAGGAUUAGAUACCCGAGUAGUC
This 465-nucleotide ribosomal RNA is filed under the name uncultured bacterium. Its description in RNAcentral is "partial 16S ribosomal RNA". It matches the Rfam family "Bacterial small subunit ribosomal RNA", at positions 338 to 795 of the family's 1533-position model. The record is from RNAcentral.